This is a non-coding RNA of Heterocephalus glaber (naked mole-rat), 703 nucleotides long. NCBI's taxonomy places the organism in Eukaryota, Metazoa, Chordata, Mammalia, Rodentia, Bathyergidae. The record is from RefSeq and is a predicted model, not a curated record.
UUCCCACCUUGUGGUUGGAGGAAGUGAAAUCAAAGGUGCCUGGCCAGCCACAAGACAGACAGGAAGUUGUUAGGAACUGCUUCCGCUGAAUUCUUUCCCUAUCCCGAAAACGCCCCUCUGUGUGUGUUACAGAGAUAAACUACGGAGCGCACAGUGGGUGUUCAAAAACCAUGCAAGAGGUGCUUGCGAAGGCGGCACUGCUCCUCGGUGGCAGCACUCUGGCAGAAGGAGGGACGCAAGCCAGGCAUUUUCCGUGCCAGGCUGGGUACCACGGUCACUUACUGAAAGCCACGGCGGGAAAACCGCGGGCCGAGGGAGCGGCUCGCGGCGGCUCGCGGCAGCGCGCGCUCUGCUGGCGGGGGAGAAAUCUGCCGAUCCGCCCGCUCUGUGGUCCUAGGAAUUAGACUUCAGCGGACUUCACAGGCUGCUGAUUCCUCAGGCCCCCUCCAGAGGCUGCUGCGAGGGAUCGCUCAGGGCUUCAGAGUGGAUCUGCAGGGACUGGUGCUGUCCCCGAGACGAGCGAGCCUGCGUGGCCAGCCUGACUGAAGAAGACACGGAGCUGUGCACCAGCACGGCGUGGCAUGGUAAUCUCAGCACGCUGGGAGGCUGAGGCAGGAGGAUCGCAAAUCUGAGCCCCGCCUGGACAAUUUAGUGACUUCAGGAGACCUUGUCUCAAAAAAAAAAAAAAAAAAAAGAAAAAAAA